CUCCCUUUAGCGCAGCCUGGUUAGCGCGUCGGUCUGGGGGACCGAAGGCCGCGAGUUCGAAUCUCGCAGGGGAGACCA
Molecule: transfer RNA, 78 nt
Filed under: compost metagenome
Description: tRNA-Pro
Rfam family: tRNA
About the family: Transfer RNA (tRNA) molecules are approximately 80 nucleotides in length. Their secondary structure includes four short double-helical elements and three loops (D, anti-codon, and T loops). Further hydrogen bonds mediate the characteristic L-shaped molecular structure. tRNAs have two regions of fundamental functional importance: the anti-codon, which is responsible for specific mRNA codon recognition, and the 3' end, to which the tRNAs corresponding amino acid is attached (by aminoacyl-tRNA synthetases). tRNAs cope with the degeneracy of the genetic code in two manners: having more than one tRNA (with a specific anti-codon) for a particular amino acid; and 'wobble' base-pairing, i.e. permitting non-standard base-pairing at the 3rd anti-codon position.
Source: RNAcentral